UCGAGGAUCUUCGGCAAUGAGCGCAAGCUUGACCGAGCGACGCCGCGUGGGCGAUGAAGGCCUUCGGGUUGUAAAGCCCUGUCGGGGAGGAGAAAAGCCGAAAGGUUUGAUCUAUUCCCGGAGGAAGCACGGGCUAAGUUCGUGCCAGCAGCCGCGGUAAGACGAACCGUGCGAACGUUGUUCGGAAUCACUGGGCUUAAAGGGCGCGUAGGCGGGCCUCCAAGUCCGGGGUGAAAGCCUCCAGCCUAAC
RNAcentral lists this ribosomal RNA (250 nucleotides) under uncultured bacterium. RNAcentral describes it as "partial 16S ribosomal RNA". It matches the Rfam family "Bacterial small subunit ribosomal RNA", at positions 355 to 613 of the family's 1533-position model. The record is from RNAcentral.